GAAAAGCACCUCGGUUGCUCUUUCCGCUUGGCCUUGGAGGGUGGAAGGUGCCACUGGAUAAGUGGUGGACUCUGAAGACUCCUGGAAGAAUUUCUCAGAAGUCAAAUUGUCUGGUUGAGUUGAGGAGCCCAGAGAUAUCUGGAAGAAGUCCCCUUUUUUUUCUCCUGGAACUUUUAGGAAUCCUGUAAAACUAAAAUUAGUCCUUGUCCUGUAGCGUUAACAAUCCUUAGUCACCUGGGGCAUCUUUGAUUAUCCUGUCAAGUUGGGUAAUUCUCGAGACUCUUGAGGAAAUUCUUCAAAUCAGGAUCAUCUUUCUGUGUGGUGCAGCAAUCCAACUCCAAACAGGUCUUUAGUCUCCAGCCCAUCCGGCCACAUCCACAGACAUGAUCAUCAGGCUGGGAAGACUGACACCAGGAUACUUUCGCCUCCUCCAGAGGCAAGUGGCAGGCGAGGUGCAGACGCAGCCACAAGACCGUGCCAUCAAUCAGAUUGCCAUGAUGCUGGCCAUCAUGGGUCUCAGUUUAUCCUACUACAGCGCCAAGCAGAUGACGGAGAAGGUGCAUGCCCACCCGGCGCCCUGAAGCAUAGACAGACGGACAAAUGAGAAGUCGAGGAAAAUCAAGCUAUGUCGAUAUGAUUGCAUUUUUUGGUUUGUUUUAUUUUCUGCAUCCAGAGUGUAAGGGAUGCAAGGGACUGUUCUGAUCGCAUGUGGAAGAUGACGCGUGGCCGUUGCAAAGAUGCAUGCAAGCAAGGGGAAAGUCGCAACGUGGGGCUGGGGGGAAAAAUGUAAUUUAGUACUUGAAUUCUCCAAGACUUUGGAGGAUAUUUUGCACAAUCAUGCAGAAACUGUUUUUAAAACCAAAACACGUGUCACUACUUAUUUGUGAAGUCACACACAUCUAAUCACAUUGAGCACCUGUGGACGUUUUAAAACAGUGUUGUUGUUUUUUUAUCAAUGUAUGGACUAAUGUCACUUUUUUGUAAUGAUUUAAUAAAUCUGUGAAUCCUUUUUUCCAACAA
Syngnathus typhle (broad-nosed pipefish) is the source of this 1020-nucleotide long non-coding RNA. RefSeq lists it as uncharacterized. The transcript has 3 exons. NCBI's taxonomy places the organism in Eukaryota, Metazoa, Chordata, Actinopteri, Syngnathiformes, Syngnathidae. The record is from RefSeq and is a predicted model, not a curated record.